GGAUCCGUAGCUCAAUAGCAGAGCAUCAAUCUUAUACAUUGAACGUUGUAGGUGCAAAUCCUACCGGAUCCACCA
This 75-nucleotide transfer RNA is filed under the name Candidatus Microgenomates bacterium. RNAcentral's name for it is "tRNA-Ile". It matches the Rfam family "tRNA". Rfam says of the family: Transfer RNA (tRNA) molecules are approximately 80 nucleotides in length. Their secondary structure includes four short double-helical elements and three loops (D, anti-codon, and T loops). Further hydrogen bonds mediate the characteristic L-shaped molecular structure. tRNAs have two regions of fundamental functional importance: the anti-codon, which is responsible for specific mRNA codon recognition, and the 3' end, to which the tRNAs corresponding amino acid is attached (by aminoacyl-tRNA synthetases). tRNAs cope with the degeneracy of the genetic code in two manners: having more than one tRNA (with a specific anti-codon) for a particular amino acid; and 'wobble' base-pairing, i.e. permitting non-standard base-pairing at the 3rd anti-codon position. Lineage: Bacteria; Candidatus Microgenomatota. The record is from RNAcentral.